UCAUGGAUCUUCCUAUGACCUUUCCUUGA
Molecule: non-coding RNA, 29 nt
Filed under: Rattus norvegicus (Norway rat)
Lineage: Eukaryota; Metazoa; Chordata; Mammalia; Rodentia; Muridae
Source: RNAcentral